Notothenia coriiceps (black rockcod) is the source of this 158-nucleotide long non-coding RNA. RefSeq lists it as uncharacterized. The record is from RefSeq and is a predicted model, not a curated record. The transcript is spliced from 2 exons. Lineage: Eukaryota; Metazoa; Chordata; Actinopteri; Perciformes; Nototheniidae.
CAUUUUUAUUAUUCAGGCCUCUGCCCGUACAUUUAUGAUUGUUAAGCUAAACUUUCUUCUAUGACUUUUCCCUUCGUUUCGUAUCCAACCCAUCAGAACCUGGGAUUGGUGAUUGUGUCUAUUUAUUCCAAAGUCAUAGCAACAUCUCAUGAGCACAA